Molecule: transfer-messenger RNA, 130 nt
Filed under: Staphylococcus xylosus
Lineage: Bacteria; Bacillati; Bacillota; Bacilli; Caryophanales; Staphylococcaceae
Description: partial transfer-messenger RNA
Rfam family: transfer-messenger RNA
About the family: Bacterial tmRNA, also known as 10Sa RNA or SsrA, is named for its dual tRNA and mRNA-like properties. Its role is to liberate the mRNA from a stalled ribosome.
Source: RNAcentral
AUUAAUCAAACUAGCAUAAUGACGGAUGUCUAUCACCUCCCAUUAUGCGAAACCUAUUGAUAGACUACGCACGUAGAAGUGCUAGUAUCAGAACCUCUGGACGCGGGUUCGAAUCCCGCCGUCUCCAUAU